RNAcentral lists this ribosomal RNA (531 nucleotides) under uncultured bacterium. Its description in RNAcentral is "bacterial SSU rRNA". It matches the Rfam family "Bacterial small subunit ribosomal RNA", at positions 15 to 525 of the family's 1533-position model. The record is from RNAcentral.
GAUCAUGGCUCAGAAUCAACGCUGGCGGCGUGCUUAACACAUGCAAGUCGAACGCGAAAGUGGAGCAAUCCAUGAGUAGAGUGGCAAACGGGUGAGUAACACGUGGGUGACCUGCCUUCGAGUGGGGGAUAACGUUUCGAAAGGAACGCUAAUACCGCAUAACAUGCUGUCUUUUAACAGAUGGACAUUAAAGCCGGGGACCGCAAGGCCUGGCGCUUGAAGAGGGGCCCGCGCCUGAUUAGCUAGUUGGUGGGGUAAUGGCCCACCAAGGCAACGAUCAGUAUCCGGCCUGAGAGGGCGGACGGACACACUGGGACUGAGACACGGCCCAGACUCCUACGGGAGGCAGCAGUGGGGAAUUGUUCGCAAUGGGCGCAAGCCUGACGACGCAACGCCGCGUGGAGGAUGAAGAUCUUCGGGUCGUAAACUCCUUUCGAUCGAGACGAAUGGCCCUUGGGCUAAUACCCUGAGGGAGUGACGGUACCGAGAGAAGAAGCCCCAGCUAACUCCGUGCCAGCAGCCGCGGUAAUA